UACGUAGGACCCGAGCGUUGUCCGGAUUUACUGGGUGUAAAGGGUGCGUAGGCGGACUUGUGCGUCAGAGGUUAAAGACCCCGGCUUAACCGGGGAAGUGCCUUUGAUACGGCAAGUCUUGAGUGCGAGAGAGGAAGGUAGAAUUCCUGGUGUAGCGGUGAAAUGCGUAGAUAUCAGGAGGAAUACCAGUGGCGAAGGCGGCCUUCUGUCUCGAUACUGACGCUCAGGCACGAAAGCGUGGGGAG
This 245-nucleotide ribosomal RNA is filed under the name uncultured bacterium. RNAcentral describes it as "partial 16S ribosomal RNA". It matches the Rfam family "Bacterial small subunit ribosomal RNA", at positions 524 to 768 of the family's 1533-position model. The record is from RNAcentral.